This 504-nucleotide ribosomal RNA is filed under the name uncultured eukaryote. RNAcentral describes it as "bacterial SSU rRNA". It matches the Rfam family "Eukaryotic small subunit ribosomal RNA", at positions 626 to 1162 of the family's 1831-position model. The record is from RNAcentral.
GCUCGUAGUCGAACUUUGUUCAGCUGGUUGCACUUACAGCUUUGCGGUUCAUGCGACCGACUGGACUUUGCGUAGCACUCUUGUCUUUGACAUUGGUGCUCCGCACUUUGAAUAUAUCAAAGUGUUUAAAGCAAGUCUACUUGAUUGCUCAAGCAUGGAAUACAGAAUCGGCGUUUGCCUUUUCUAAGGUUCUAAAGGCUUUUGCAAUGAUUGAGAGGGAACGGUGGGGGGGAUACGCAUUGAUUUGUUAGGGGUGAUAUUCUUUGGGAUCAGUCAAAGGCGAACUGAUGCGAAAGCGUUUCUCAAAAACGUUUUUAUUGAUCAAGAACGAAGGUUAAGGGAUCGAAGACGAUCAGAUACCGUCGUAGUCUUAACGGUAAACUAUGCCAUCCAAAGAUCGGGCAAAUGCAUAGAGAUUGCUCGGGAUUUCGUGAGAAAUCAGAGAUAUUGGGUUCUGGGGGAAGUAUGUGCCCAAGCCCGGAAACUUAAAGGAAUUGACGGAGG